This 373-nucleotide ribosomal RNA is filed under the name uncultured bacterium. RNAcentral describes it as "bacterial SSU rRNA". It matches the Rfam family "Bacterial small subunit ribosomal RNA", at positions 525 to 896 of the family's 1533-position model. The record is from RNAcentral.
ACGGGGGGUGCAAGCGUUGUUCGGAAUUAUUGGGCGUAAAGAGCGUGUAGGCGGCUGGAUUAGUCAGAUGUGAAAGCCCUGGGCUUAACCCAGGAAGUGCAUUUGAAACUGUCCGGCUUGAGUAAGGGAGAGGAAAGUGGAAUUCCUGGUGUAGAGGUGAAAUUCGUAGAUAUCAGGAGGAACACCGGUGGCGAAGGCGACUUUCUGGCCCUAUACUGACGCUGAGACGCGAGAGCGUGGGUAGCAAACAGGAUUAGAUACCCUGGUAGUCCACGCCGUAAACGAUGUUCACUAGGUAUUGGGGGUAUUGACCCUCUCAGUGCCGAAGCUAACGCAUUAAGUGAACCGCCUGGGGAGUACGGUCGCAAGAUUA